This is a long non-coding RNA of Cannabis sativa, 301 nucleotides long. RefSeq lists it as uncharacterized. The transcript is spliced from 3 exons. NCBI's taxonomy places the organism in Eukaryota, Viridiplantae, Streptophyta, Magnoliopsida, Rosales, Cannabaceae. The record is from RefSeq and is a predicted model, not a curated record.
UUUCACCAUUUUAGCUCAUUUUUGUUUCUAAAUCUUCUAUUUUUCAUACCUAAAACUAUAUACCUGAAAAGAUCACAUUUUUCCUCAUUUUUUAGGGUAAACCGAAGGUAGAGGUAGUGGUGGUGGUGGUUAUACCUCCGGCCACCGUUUUUAGUGGAGAAAACAUUGUAUUUCAACGUCUAUUAAGGUUGUGAGGUCAAUUUGCAAGGAUCUGACUUAUUUGGUAUUGAUCGGUUUCUAGUUAGCUCGAGGAUUUUAUCGGAAGUGACUUUAUCAGAAGACAAAUACAAAAUUUUUGGUA